GCUCCGGGAACUGGAAUUAAUACCGCAUACGCCCUACGGGGGAAAGAUUUAUCGGGGAAGGAUUGGCCCGCGUUGGAUUAGCUAGUUGGUGGGGUAAAGGCCUACCAAGGCGACGAUCCAUAGCUGGUCUGAGAGGAUGAUCAGCCACAUUGGGACUGAGACACGGCCCAAACUCCUACGGGAGGCAGCAGUGGGGAAUAUUGGACAAUGGGCGCAAGCCUGAUCCAGCCAUGCCGCGUGAGUGAUGAAGGCCUUAGGGUUGUAAAGCUCUUUCACCGGAGAAGAUAAUGACGGUAUCCGGAGAAGAAGCCCCGGCUAACUUCGUGCCAGCAGCCGCGGUAAUACGA
This 347-nucleotide ribosomal RNA is filed under the name Agrobacterium sp. AF-1D. RNAcentral describes it as "bacterial SSU rRNA". It matches the Rfam family "Bacterial small subunit ribosomal RNA", at positions 146 to 528 of the family's 1533-position model. Lineage: Bacteria; Pseudomonadati; Pseudomonadota; Alphaproteobacteria; Hyphomicrobiales; Rhizobiaceae. The record is from RNAcentral.